CAGCAGCCACGGGAAUACAGAGGGUGCGAGCGUUAAUCGGAUUUACUGGGCGUAAAGCGUGCGUAGGCGGCUAAUUGAGUCGGAUGUGAAAUCCCCGAGCUUAACUUGGGAAUUGCAUUCGAUACUGGUUAGCUAGAGUGUGGGAGAGGAUGGUAGAAUUCCAGGUGUAGCGGUGAAAUGCGUAGAGAUCUGGAGGAAUACCGAUGGCGAAGGCAGCCAUCUUGCCUAACACUGACGCUGAUGUACGAAAGCAUGGGGAGCAAACAGGAUUAGAGACCCGCGUAGUCCUGUCUCUUAUACA
Molecule: ribosomal RNA, 301 nt
Filed under: uncultured bacterium
Lineage: Bacteria
Description: partial 16S ribosomal RNA
Rfam family: Bacterial small subunit ribosomal RNA
Source: RNAcentral